UAGGGAAUCUUCCGCAAUGGACGAAAGUCUGACGGAGCAACGCCGCGUGAGUGAAGAAGGAUUUCGGUUCGUAAAACUCUGUUGUUAGGGAAGAAAAAAUGUAUAGUAACUAUAUACAAAAGAGACGGUACCUAACCAGAAAGCCACGGCUAACUACGUGCCAGCAGCCGCGGUAAUACGUAGGUGGCAAGCGUUGUCCGGAAUUAUUGGGCGUAAAGCGCGCGCAGGUGGUUUAGAAAGUCUGAUGUGAAAGCCCACGGCUCAACCGUGGAGGGUCAUUGGAAACUAAUAAACUUGAGUGCAGGAGAGAAAAGUGGAAUUCCUAGUGUAGCGGUGAAAUGCGUAGAGAUUAGGAGGAACACCGGUGGCGAAAGCGACUUUCUGGACGACAACUGACGCUUAGGCGCGAAAGCGUGGGGAGCAAACAGG
This 429-nucleotide ribosomal RNA is filed under the name Verrucomicrobiota bacterium. RNAcentral's name for it is "Verrucomicrobia bacterium partial 16S ribosomal RNA". It matches the Rfam family "Bacterial small subunit ribosomal RNA", at positions 355 to 776 of the family's 1533-position model. The record is from RNAcentral. Lineage: Bacteria; Pseudomonadati; Verrucomicrobiota.